This 327-nucleotide unclassified non-coding RNA is filed under the name uncultured fungus. RNAcentral's name for it is "partial contains small subunit ribosomal RNA, internal transcribed spacer 1, and 5.8S ribosomal RNA". The stretch from base 1 to 73 matches the Rfam family "Eukaryotic small subunit ribosomal RNA", at positions 1759 to 1831 of the family's 1831-position model. The record is from RNAcentral. Lineage: Eukaryota; Fungi.
GCAAACUUGGUCAUUUAGAGGAAGUAAAAGUCGUAACAAGGUCUCCGUAGGUGAACCUGCGGAGGGAUCAUCAAAGAAUACUUUUAACAAGGAUUUAUCUCUCUUUCUUACAAGAAGAGGGGAGGGGAGGAUAGGUUCUUGUUAAAAACAUAACAAACAAAUAUAUACAUGACUAGGAAAAAAGAAGAAGUUGAGAGAGAGGGGGGGGGAUUAUAUAAGAAAAGUUCUUGGCUGAUAAGAAGAAACUAUUUGAUUUGGUUUGAGAGAAGAAGAAAUAUAACUUUCAACAACGGAUCUCUUGGCUCUCACAUCGAUGAAGAACGCAGC